RNAcentral lists this long non-coding RNA (381 nucleotides) under Mytilus galloprovincialis (Mediterranean mussel). Lineage: Eukaryota; Metazoa; Mollusca; Bivalvia; Mytilida; Mytilidae. The record is from RNAcentral.
GCACUUAUUCGGAUAAAAGUAGUUUUUCUAGUCGAAUUUGUGAAAAAAAUCAUGUUUGUUUACAUUUUUUUAUGUCAUUGAAAUGUCGAGAAGCAAUCUGCCUUUUGUUGUUUUGUAAUAACUAUGUACUUUUAAAACUGGAUAUUCUCACAUACUGAUCAUAAUGUUGAACCAUUUUGACAGACAGUUUUAUUUUGUCGUUAAUUUGUCUGUGUAAUUAUUUAAAUUAGAAUAUUUAUUGACCUUUCAUAUGUCUUCUCGAUUAAAUUUCUUUCACGAUCCGUUACCAGAGCUUUCACGAUCGUCUCUCAAUACUUGACCGCCGUUAGAUAUUCUUUCACGAUCAUUUCUCUCGUUAAACCGAAUGACACCCGUGUAGGU